RNAcentral lists this ribosomal RNA (468 nucleotides) under uncultured bacterium. Its description in RNAcentral is "partial 16S ribosomal RNA". It matches the Rfam family "Bacterial small subunit ribosomal RNA", at positions 28 to 507 of the family's 1533-position model. The record is from RNAcentral.
GACGAACGCUGGCGGCGUGCUUAACACAUGCAAGUCGAACGGAAAGGCCCUGCUUUUGUGGGGUGCUCGAGUGGCGAACGGGUGAGUAACACGUGAGUAACCUGCCCUUGACUUUGGGAUAACUUCAGGAAACUGGGGCUAAUACCGGAUAGGAGCUCCUGCUGCAUGGUGGGGGUUGGAAAGUUUCGGCGGUUGGGGAUGGACUCGCGGCUUAUCAGCUUGUUGGUGGGGUAGUGGCUUACCAAGGCUUUGACGGGUAGCCGGCCUGAGAGGGUGACCGGCCACAUUGGGACUGAGAUACGGCCCAGACUCCGACGGGAGGCAGCAGUGGGGAAUAUUGCACAAUGGGCGGAAGCCUGAUGCAGCAACGCCGCGUGCGGGAUGACGGCCUUCGGGUUGUAAACCGCUUUCGCCUGUGACGAAGCGGGAGUGACGGUAAUGGGUAAAGAAGCACCGGCUAACUACGUG